This 486-nucleotide ribosomal RNA is filed under the name uncultured bacterium. Its description in RNAcentral is "partial 16S ribosomal RNA". It matches the Rfam family "Bacterial small subunit ribosomal RNA", at positions 28 to 507 of the family's 1533-position model. The record is from RNAcentral.
GACGAACGCUGGCGGCGUGCUUAACACAUGCAAGUCGAACGCUGAAGACCUGGCUUUUGUUGGGUUGGAUGAGUGGCGAACGGGUGAGUAACACGUGAGUAACCUGCCCUCUUCUUUGGGAUAACGCCCGGAAACGGGUGCUAAUACUGGAUAUUCACUGAUCUUCGCAUGGGGGUUGGUGGAAAGGUUUGUUCUGGCGGGGGAUGGGCUCGCGGCCUAUCAGCUUGUUGGUGGGGUGAUGGCCUACCAAGGCUUUGACGGGUAGCCGGCCUGAGAGGGUGACCGGUCACAUUGGGACUGAGAUACGGCCCAGACUCCUACGGGAGGCAGCAGUGGGGAAGAUUGCACAAUGGGCGAAAGCCUGAUGCAGCGACGCCGCGUGAGGGAUGGAGGCCUUCGGGGUGUAAACCUCUUUCGCUCAUGGUCAAGCCGCAACUGUGGGUUGUGGUGAGGGUAGUGGGUAAAGAAGCGCCGGCUAACUACGUG